ACGAUGAAGCCCAGCUUGCUGGGUGGAUUAGUGGCGAACGGGUGAGUAACACGUGAGUAACCUGCCCUUGACUCUGGGAUAAGCGUUGGAAACGACGUCUAAUACCGGAUACGAGCUUCCACCGCAUGGUGAGUUGCUGGAAAGAAUUUUGGUCAAGGAUGGACUCGCGGCCUAUCAGCUUGUUGGUGAGGUAAUGGCUCACCAAGGCGACGACGGGUAGCCGGCCUGAGAGGGUGACCGGCCACACUGGGACUGAGACACGGCCCAGACUCCUACGGGAGGCAGCAGUGGGGAAUAUUGCACAAUGGGCGAAAGCCUGAUGCAGCAACGCCGCGUGAGGGACGACGGCCUUCGGGUUGUAAACCUCUUUUAGCAGGGAAGAAGCGAAAGUGACGGUACCUGCAGAAAAAGCACCGGCUAACUACGUGCCAGCAGCCGCGGUAAUACGUAGGGUGCAAGCGUUGUCCGGAAUUAUUGGGCGUAAAGAGCUCGUAGGCGGUUUGUCGCGUCUGCUGUGAAAUCCCGAGGCUCAACCUCGGGUCUGCAGUGGGUACGGGCAGACUAGAGUGCGGUAGGGGAGAUUGGAAUUCCUGGUGUAGCGGUGGAAUGCGCAGAUAUCAGGAGGAACACCGAUGGCGAAGGCAGAUCUCUGGGCCGCUACUGACGCUGAGGAGCGAAAGGGUGGGGAGCAAACAGGCUUAGAUACCCUGGUAGUCCACCCCGUAAACGUUGGGCGCUAGAUGUGGGGACCAUUCCACGGUUUCCGUGUCGUAGCUAACGCAUUAAGCGCCCCGCCUGGGGAGUACGGCCGCAAGGCUAAAACUCAAAGGAAUUGACGGGGGCCCGCACAAGCGGCGGAGCAUGCGGAUUAAUUCGAUGCAACGCGAAGAACCUUACCAAGGCUUGACAUAUACGAGAACGGGCCAGAAAUGGUCAACUCUUUGGACACUCGUAAACAGGUGGUGCAUGGUUGUCGUCAGCUCGUGUCGUGAGAUGUUGGGUUAAGUCCCGCAACGAGCGCAACCCUCGUUCUAUGUUGCCAGCACGUAAUGGUGGGAACUCAUGGGAUACUGCCGGGGUCAACUCGGAGGAAGGUGGGGACGACGUCAAAUCAUCAUGCCCCUUAUGUCUUGGGCUUCACGCAUGCUACAAUGGCCAGUACAAAGGGCUGCAAUACCGUAAGGUGGAGCGAAUCCCAAAAAGCUGGUCCCAGUUCGGAUUGAGGUCUGCAACUCGACCUCAUGAAGUCGGAGUCGCUAGUAAUCGCAGAUCAGCAACGCUGCGGUGAAUACGUUCCCGGGCCUUGUACACACCGCCCGUCAAGUCAUGAAAGUCGGUAACACCCGAAGCCAGUGGCCUAACCGCAAGGA
This 1370-nucleotide ribosomal RNA is filed under the name Plantibacter cousiniae (nom. nud.). Its description in RNAcentral is "Plantibacter cousiniae 16S ribosomal RNA". It matches the Rfam family "Bacterial small subunit ribosomal RNA". The record is from RNAcentral. Lineage: Bacteria; Bacillati; Actinomycetota; Actinomycetes; Micrococcales; Microbacteriaceae.